This 445-nucleotide ribosomal RNA is filed under the name uncultured bacterium. RNAcentral describes it as "bacterial SSU rRNA". It matches the Rfam family "Bacterial small subunit ribosomal RNA", at positions 354 to 796 of the family's 1533-position model. The record is from RNAcentral.
GUGAGGAAUAUUGGUCAAUGGGCGCAAGCCUGAACCAGCCAUCCCGCGUGCAGGAAGACGGCCCUAUGGGUUGUAAACUGCUUUUCCAGGGAGAGAAACUCUCGUACGUGUACGGGAUUGACGGUACCCUGGGAAUAAGCAUCGGCUAACUCCGUGCCAGCAGCCGCGGUAAUACGGAGGAUGCAAGCGUUAUCCGGAUUCAUUGGGUUUAAAGGGUGCGUAGGCGGACUAUUAAGUCAGUGGUGAAAUCCUGCAGCUUAACUGCAGAACUGCCAUUGAUACUGAUAGACUUGAGUUUGGUUAAGGUAGGCGGAAUGUGUAAUGUAGCGGUGAAAUGCUUAGAUAUUACACAGAACACCAAUUGCGUAGGCAGCUUACUGAGCCGAUACUGACGCUGAGGCACGAAAGCGUGGGGAUCGAACAGGAUUAGAUACCCUAGUAGUCC